UACAGAGGCCCCAAGCGUUACUGAGAAUCACUGGGUUUAAAGGGUGCGUAGGUGGCGCGUUAAGUCCGUUGUGAAAGCCCUGGGCUCAACCCAGGAACUGCUUCGGAUACUGGCGCGCUUGAGGCUAGUAGGGGUCACUGGAACUGACGGUGGAGCGGUGAAAUGCGUAGAUAUCGGAAGGAACGCCGGUGGCGAAAGCGAGCUGCUGGAUCCCUCCUGACGCUGAGGCGCGAAAGCCAGGGGAGCGAACGGG
Molecule: ribosomal RNA, 253 nt
Filed under: uncultured bacterium
Lineage: Bacteria
Description: partial 16S ribosomal RNA
Rfam family: Bacterial small subunit ribosomal RNA
Source: RNAcentral